AUAUAAUUGAACGUUCCUAUCAGUCAUAUUUUGUAAUAGUAGAUAUACCUUGACAGUUACCGAUAAGAUAGAGUAGGCACGUGUGUCAUAUUAAAAUGUUUUAAACUUAAAUUAAAACAAUUACGGUCUCAGACUAAAAAAAAUGAAUUAACACAUUUUCCGAAUUGUAAACAUUUUUUUGAAUCAUCAGAAUUUUCAUUAUCAACAGUUAAAUUUGUUUAAGCUGUUUCGAUACUUCAACAGGAAUGUAAUAAUCGAUUUCAAGAUUUUAAACGACAUUCACAAUAUUUUCAAUUACUCACCAAUCCAUUUAUUAUUAAUGUUGAAGAUAUCCCUAAUGAGCUUCAAAUGGAAAUAAUAGAUUUAUAGCCACAAGAUCUUAAAAACUCAGUCAAAGCAUCGCCUUUACUUUUUUUCGCUGAACUUCUUGCAUCAUUUUCAAAAAUUAAAAAUAUAACUGCAAAAAUUUCAGUAUGUUUGAAUACACUUACGUGUGUGAACAGGCUUUUUCUCAUAUGAAAAAAAUUAAAAAUCCAUACCGUUCAUGCUUCACUAAUGACCAUCUCCACCAUGUACUUAGAGCAAGCACAAGUAAUUAUAAUGUGGAAAUUGAAAAAAUAAUAAACAAUAUCCAACAACAAAAAUCACAUUAAGCAUUUUACCAAACAGUUGUAAUUUCCACACUUUUAAUUAUAAUUAUAUUAUUAAAAACUGAAAUUUUUGCAUGCAUAACUGAACGUAAAGCUACCUUUAGGUCAUAUACCUAAAUGUUUAUAAUAUCCAUAUAGAUUCACAGAUAGUGUGUAGAUUAUUUCAUAUCCCUCUCUCCCAAACUAACUACUAAGUCAGCAAUUCAACAAUAAUAUAAUUUUUAUUUCGUAAAAAUUAAUAAUUUCUCAGAUGUUCUUAUUUUAUUACAUGAUGGUACAUGGAAUAUUACGAGUAUGGUAUAUGGUAUAUGAUAUAUUAUUCAUGACAUUUUUAUUUAUUAUUUUCAAAUUUAUUACAUAUCAAAAGAGUGUAGAAAAAGAUGGAUAAACAUUUUUUGGGGUCGGUAAAUUUUGUAUUUGGAGUGGGCAAAUGUUUAAUCCAAACCCCUCCAUCAAUUUUUGUAUCCAUUAUGAAAAAUUGUAAGUGAUAUUCUAAAAUAUUUCUAUAAAAGAAGAGAUACUCUCCGUAUGUACCCACCACCCCAAUUCAAGCACAGACUUCUCAUACUAGUACUAUAUACCACUAAAACUAAUUAAUAAUUAUAAACCAAGAGAUGGUAGGGGAUUCUACUCAUUGGUUUUUUUUUAACUAAGUCAUCAAGGGGUCAAUAUUUUAUCGAAAUGUGGCUAAAAUAACAAUAAUUAUCGAAUUGCACUAAGUAUACUUAUAUAAAUAUACAUUCGGUGAAGAAAUAAAUCUAUGGCAUUUUGAAACUCUUUUCAGCACGUAAUGUCAUAACUUGAAUUGGCCUAGUUAUCGCAAGUCAUAAUUACUACAAACAAUAAUUGUAAGUAAGUAUACAACUUGUUUACUUACAUAAAAUUUUCGUGUGGAAAAGUAUAAAAGCAAAUUUUUGGAUCACAUAUUUGUAAAAACUUUUAACACCGAAUAUCUAUACAUUUAACAUUCGUAUCAUAAGUCUUGUCGAGCGCAAUUUCAGAAAGUAAACCUACUAUUGAAAUUUGUACAUUUUCGCUAUAACUUUAUAACUGUAGUGUACAGACUUCAAAUUAUUAUAGGAUCAAUAGGCGUAUGUUAGCGUUAUAACCAUGAGUAAAUUGUUUACUGGUAAUGUUUUUGCGUUUUGAUUACUAUAACAUGUUUACUCUUUCUGGUAAACAGAUCAUUUGUAACCAUCCAUUUUGAAUUGGUAAGAGGAUUUACUGAUGUUCGGUGAUUUGGUUAGAUGUUGGACUAAGAUAAACACGUAUGAAUCGUGUGCUGAAGAGAUGAAUAAUAAUUAUUAUUAAUCCAAUAGGUAUUCUAACCUAACCUAACCUACGUGACACAUGUGUUGUCUUUUCUACUAGUUGACACGUGUAGUAGUUACAGUGGAAAAUACUCUUGAUUUCCUAUAUAAACACAAUUUUGUUGACAGUUUUGGUGAAACUUGUUGUAGGGAAUCAAGUGUUGUUAAAAGUUUCUUGGGUCAUACGGUAGGCAUAUUUCCUGACUAUAACAGGUCUUAGCACGGUACAGGGCGGAAUUUGUUCAACUUGUAUACAUUUUUACCGACAUUAACUGAAAUCGGUUAGGGUUGGUAACCCGACAAAUAUUAAAUUUAAAAAUAUUUAUUAUUACUAUCUAUACUAUGUAUUAUGUUCACGUAAUAAAAAAACAUAAUAAUAUAUAAUACUGUAC
RNAcentral lists this long non-coding RNA (2352 nucleotides) under Cinara cedri. Lineage: Eukaryota; Metazoa; Arthropoda; Insecta; Hemiptera; Aphididae. The record is from RNAcentral.